This 585-nucleotide ribosomal RNA is filed under the name Magnaporthiopsis incrustans. Its description in RNAcentral is "SSU rRNA". It matches the Rfam family "Eukaryotic small subunit ribosomal RNA", at positions 40 to 630 of the family's 1831-position model. The record is from RNAcentral. Lineage: Eukaryota; Fungi; Ascomycota; Sordariomycetes; Magnaporthales; Magnaporthaceae.
UAGAUUAGCCAUGCAUGUCUAAGUAUAAGCAAUUAUACAGCGAAACUGCGAAUGGCUCAUUAAAUCAGUUAUCGUUUAUUUGAUAGUACCUUACUACAUGGAUAACCGUGGUAAUUCUAGAGCUAAUACAUGCUGAAAACCCCGACUUCGGAAGGGGUGUAUUUAUUAGAUUAAAAGCCAAUGCCCUUCGGGGCUCACUGGUGAUUCAUGAUAACUUCUCGAAUCGCACGGCCUUGCGCCGGCGAUGGUUCAUUCAAAUUUCUGCCCUAUCAACUUUCGACGGCUGGGUCUUGGCCAGCCGUGGUGACAACGGGUAACGGAGGGUUAGGGCUCGACCCCGGAGAAAACGCCUGAGAAACGGCGUUUACAUCCAAGGAAGGCAGCAGGCGCGCAAAUUACCCAAUGCCGACACGGCGAGGUAGUGACGAGAAAUACUGAUACAGGGCUCUUUUGGGUCUUGUAAUUGGAAUGAGUACAAUUUAAAUCUCUUAACGAGGAACAAUUGGAGGGCAAGUCUGGUGCCAGCAGCCGCGGUAAUUCCAGCUCCAAUAGCGUAUAUUAAAGUUGUUGCAGUUAAAAAGCUCG